Molecule: ribosomal RNA, 309 nt
Filed under: uncultured bacterium
Lineage: Bacteria
Description: partial 16S ribosomal RNA
Rfam family: Bacterial small subunit ribosomal RNA
Source: RNAcentral
AGAGACAGCAGUAGCCGCGGUAAUACGAGGGGGGCAAGCGUUGUUCGGAAUUAUUGGGCGUAAAGGGUGCGUAGGCGGCCAGGCAAGUCUUGUGUGAAAUCGAUGGGCUCAACCCAUCGUCCGCACAGGAAACUGCAGGGCUUGAGGAUGGGAGAGGUGAGUGGAAUUUCCGGUGUAGCGGUGAAAUGCGUAGAUAUCGGAAGGAACACCUGUGGCGAAAGCGGCUCACUGGACCAUUACUGACGCUGAUGCACGAAAGCUAGGGGAGCAAACAGGAUUAGAUACCCCCGUAGUCCCUGUCUCUUAUAC